RNA transcript from Motacilla alba alba, 6809 nucleotides. It is a transcript of the gene named CBFA2/RUNX1 partner transcriptional co-repressor 3, with no coding region annotated. The transcript is spliced from 14 exons. The record is from RefSeq and is a predicted model, not a curated record. NCBI's taxonomy places the organism in Eukaryota, Metazoa, Chordata, Aves, Passeriformes, Motacillidae.
CGCUGCUGUAUUUUUAGGACACGUUUCCUCCCUCCCACCUGCAGCCCAGAGCCGCCUUUCGGGUUUCUAACAAGUUGUUUCUCUCUGGCUGACAGCUCUUGGGGAGCCCAAGAGGGGCCUGGCAGGGAUGGGCUGCACAGGGGGGUCCCCCCAAGUGCUGAGAAGGUCGAGGCGAUGCUGCAGCUGCAGAUCAGGGCGGCAGCAGCAGGAGCAGCCGUGGGAAAACCUCAUUCCCUGGAUGGUCCCAGGCAAAGGGGCUGCAGCAAGGGAGGGCGAGCCCCAUGUUUGUGCCAGGCUGCAGAUGGACAACCAUGCCAGGCCUUGCCAUGCUGGUUGUGCCGUGCUGCUGCGCACGGGGCUGGCUGUGCCAUGCCUGUCCUGCUGUGCCUGUCCUGCUGUGCCAUGCUGAUCCUGCCGUGCUGGUCCUGCCGUGCCAGCCCUGCCGUGCCACGCCGCACCGCUCCGGCCCCUCGCAGUGAGGAAGUGAGGCCGGCGCGAAGGGGAAGUUGUUGGAAAGUCAGACCGGAAUGGCUGAUAGGGAAGGCAGAGCUGGGCUUGGUCACAGAUGGUUCCUGUUGGGGAAGGACACGGGCGCAGCUGCCCGGCCACCCCCACCCGCCGCAUUAUCACUGCCCGGCAGCUGUUCACCUUCCCCUCGCCAUGGGACGCGGCUCCGCUGCCACCGCGGCCCCGGCCGUCACAUGAGCGGCCCCGGCGGCCGGGCAGGCGCCGGGCGGGCAGGACACCCCGCGCUCCUCCGCAGCUCGGCAUCCCCGGCCCCGGCACAGCUCCUGCCCGCACGCGGGACAAGGCCGGCGGCACCAGCCUCAACGCGGCUCGUGGACUUGGGGCGCUGCCACCGUCCCCUCGGGACUCCUCGGAGUGGACAAGGGCUCCUCUCGGGCUGGGGCACCACGCAGGACCCGCCAAGAUAACGCGGAGCCCGCGGCCGCCGCCAUGCCCGACUCGCCGGCCGACGUCAAGACGCAGGCCCGCUCCACGCCGCCCGCCAUGCCCCCGCCGCCCGCCGCGCAGGGAGCCACGCGCCACCCCUCCUUCACGCCCAGCACCAGCUGGAGACGCUCCUCGCGCGCACGUUGCCAAGCCACGGCUGGAGCGUGCUCCUGUGGCGGUGCUGCCCGUGGUCAGAGAGCCCUGUGAGGUCCCUGGGGACGGGGACAUCCUGCCAGCAGAUCGAGACGCUGGCCCUCCGACGUUUCUGCCUCGCGGCCGUUUUCAUGGUUGCUUGAAAUGGUCGAUGGUCUGUCUUUUGAUGAACGGGAGCAGCCACUCGCCAACCGCCAUCAAUGGGGCUCCGUCCACCCCCAACGGGUUCAGCAACGGGCCGGCCACCUCCUCCAGCGCCUCCCUGUCCACCCACCAGCUCCCUCCAGCCUGUGGCGCCCGCCAGCUCUCCAAGCUCAAGCGCUUCCUCACCACCCUGCAGCAGUUUGGGAACGACAUCUCCCCCGAGAUCGGGGAGCGGGUGCGCACCCUCGUGCUGGGGCUCGUGAACUCCACCCUCACCAUUGAGGAGUUUCACGCCAAGCUCCAAGAGGCCACCAACUUCCCGCUGCGACCCUUCGUCAUCCCCUUCCUCAAGGCCAACCUGCCGCUGCUGCAGCGGGAGCUGCUGCACUGCGCCCGCAUGGCCAAGCAGACCCCGGCCCAGUACCUGGCGCAGCACGAGCAGCUGCUGCUGGACGCCAACGCCUCCUCUCCCAUCGACUCCUCCGAGCUGCUCCUGGAGGUGGGCGAGAGCGGCAAGAGGAGGACGCCAGACAGGACCAAAGAGAACGGUUUGGACCGAGACCCCCUGCACCCCGAGCACCUCAGCAAGCGGCCGUGCACCAUGAGCCCGGCGCAGCGCUACAGCCCCAGCAACGGGCUGAGCCACCCCCCGAACGGGCUGGGGCACCCCCCCGCCGGCCCCGCCCUGCCCCAGCACUACCGCCUGGAGGACAUGGCCAUGGCACACCACUACCGGGACACCUACCGGCACCCCGACCCCCGGGAGCUCCGCGAGCGCCAGCGGCCUGCCGCCGUGCACGGGACGCGGCAGGAGGAGGUGAUCGACCACCGGCUCACGGACCGGGAGUGGGCGGAGGAGUGGAAACACCUCAACAACCUGCUGAACUGCAUCAUGGACAUGGUGGAGAAGACGCGGCGGUCGCUGACGGUGCUGCGGCGGUGCCAGGAGGCCGAUCGCGAGGAGCUCAACCACUGGAUCCGGCGCUACAGCGACGCUGAGGACAUGAAGAAAGGCAGCCCCCCCUCGGCACGCCCCCACAACUCCUCCUCGGCCGCCGCCGAGGCUCCCCAGUUAGACGCUCACCGGGACUUCGCGCCGCGGCCGCUCUCCGGGUACAUGCCCGAGGAGAUCUGGAGGAAGGCUGAAGAAGCCGUGAACGAGGUGAAGCGGCAGGCCAUGUCCGAGCUGCAGAAGGCCGUGUCGGACGCCGAGCGGAAGGCGCACGAGCUGAUCACCACGGAGCGCGCCAAGAUGGAGCGGGCCCUGGCCGAGGCCAAGCGCCAGGCGUCCGAGGAUGCCCUCACCGUCAUCAAUCAGCAGGAGGACUCGAGCGAGAGCUGCUGGAACUGCGGGCGCAAGGCGAGCGAGACGUGCAGCGGCUGCAACACCGCGCGCUACUGCGGCUCCUUCUGCCAGCACAAGGAUUGGGAGAAGCACCACCACGUCUGCGGGCAGACUCUGCAGGGGCUGCCGGGCCCCACUGCCCCCGGGCCGGGCCAGCCCGACGGGGUGCCCGCCGUGGCCAGCAGCCCCAGCGAGGCGGGCUCGGUGGCUGCGUCCCGCGCCGGCACCCCGGCCACGCCGGCGCCGCUGGACAGCGCGUCCCGCUGAGCCGCCCACGGACUGCACCCCGUGCAAUUUCCUCAGCUACCUGACUCGUGUGACCUCCGAAACGACCUCUCUAGCUCUCACAACUAAUCCUCACGGAUCCUCAAACUGGGCUUUAAGUGGAGUUAAGGCAAAUACCGGUCUCUGUUCUUUCUUCAGUCUUUGUUUUGGCUUUUUUCGGUUGGUUUUCUAUCGGUUGGGGGAUUGUGGUUUGGGAUUUUUUUGGGGUUUUUUGGCUGUUUUUAUUUUUCUUUUUUGCUCUUUGGAUGAGGGAUUUGGCUCCAGCAUCACCAAGCAGUGCUGUGGGGAGAGACCAGCCCGAUCCCGUCCCCCAUCAGCGCUGCCGAGGGGCUCACUUGGAGGAGGGAAGAACCUUCUUUUCUUCAUCUCUCUCUUCCUGUUUUUUUUUUUUUUUUACCUUUUUUUUUUUUUGUAAAAAAAUAAAGAAAAUAAAAAAGAAAACGUCGGACUCUUUGGCUUUAAGUAAGAAAUUGUAAAAAAGAAAAAAAAAAAAAAAAAAGGAAAAAUCCAAAAACCAGACGACGCGUGACGGACGCUCACCUGUAACUACCUUGCUAGCUAGCCAAGAACAGACCAGACUCACCUCUGCUCCAAAGGAAAUCCAAAACCAAGGAAGAUCCAAACGUCUCUCCACUGCCAAAGUUCGUUUCGUUCUGUUGUCGCUUCCUUCCCCUCCCCACAAGGAUGGAUGGACAUGCCCCUGGGGCUUUAAAGAAUUUCUAUUAAAAUAAAGGGAAAAAAAAAAAAAAAAAGGUGUUUUUUUACUAAAACCCCCACCCCCAAGGCAUGGGAGGGGGAGAUGGGGCUGAGAACCGCAGCCGGAGCCGGCACAUCUCUACCUCUGCCCGCCACCGCCCUGGAAAAGGAGAACAAAAAGGAGAUUAAAAAAAAAAAAAAGAGAAUAAUAAUAAAAAAAGAAUUAAAAAAAAAGGAAACUAAAAGAUGGAUUUUGGGUUUCUCCCUCCCCGAAGCCGUCGGGGGACUCCCCAUCCCUUCACUGCCAGGCUGCUCCCACACCCCGCGCUGGAUUUGUUUCAUAAGGAUUUUUAAGAGGAAAAGGAAAGGAAAAGGAAAGGAAAAGGGACGCUGCCGCCUCCCUGGCCAAGGACAAUGUGGAUUAUUUGGGAUUCUUGCCUCGCUGGAGCGGCACGGAGGAGGAAGUGCAAUAUGGGAAGUGCGAGCUCCGAGCGAGGCGGCGGGGCCGUGCGCUGCGUGAAUGUAAAUAGUGUCUGCAGAGGCCCAAGAAGGAAUCAGCACCACCACCACCACAGCGUAGUGAUAAUGAUAAGAGACGUUUGCCAAAUAAAGGACGAGGAGGAAGCGUGGAGCCGUGGCGCUGGCCGGAGCGAGGCCUGGCCCCCAGAGGAGCUGGAGUUUUUCCGCAUUUGCAAAACCCAUCCUGUGUGUUUUCCCGAGGGGAGGAAGAGGAGGGAAGGGCUCGGGGCCGCGGGGGUUGUGCUGCCGGUCACAGGGCUGGGCGCUGGGGACGCGCCAGGGGUGGUGUCACUGGCCCUGUGCCACCAGCACCCAGCCCUGCUGGGGUUCUGUGCACCCAAGGCCUUGGUGCAUCCCCUGGGAUGAGUUCUGUGCACCCCAAAAUCUCGGUGCAUCACCUCGGAUGAGUUCUGUGCCCCCUAAGACCCUGGGGGGUUUCUGUGCACCCCGAGAUCUCUCUGAUUCCUCCCAGGGUUCCUCUUCUGAGGUUUCUCUGCACCCCAAGAUCUUGGGGCAUCCUCCUGGGAAGGUUCUGUGCACCCCAAGGCCUAGGUGCAUCCUCCUGGGAAGGUUCUGUGCACCCCAAGGCCUUGGUGCAUCCCCUGGGAUGAGUUCUGUGCACCCCAAAAUCUCGGUGCAUCACCUCGGAUGAGUUCUGUGCCCCCUAAGACCCUGGGGGGUUUCUGUGCGCCCCGAGAUCUCUCUGAUUCCUCCCAGGGUUCCUCUUCUGAGGUUUCUCUGCACCCCAAGAUCUUGGGGCAUCCUCCUGGGAAGGUUCUGUGCACCCCAAGGCCUUGAUGCAUCCCCUGGGAGGGCUCUGUGCACCCCAAAAUCUCAGUGCAGCACCUUGGAUGAGUUCUGUGCACCCUGAGACCCUGGGGGGUUUCUGUGCACCCCGAGAUCUCUCUGAUUCCUCCCAGGGUUCCUCUUCUGAGGUCUCGGUGCAUCACCCCCAGGAGGUUUCUCUGCACCCCAAGAUCUUGGGGCAUCCUCCUGGGAAGGCUUUGUGCACCCCAAGAUCUUGGUGCAUCCCCCCAGGGGUUUCCUGUGCACCCCAAGGUCUUGGCCCAACCCCAGGGACCUUUCUGUGCCCCCCAAGUCCUCGGUGCACCCCCUGGGUGGUUUCUGUGCCCCCUCCCCAGCCCCGGGAGCUUCUCCGGGUGCCCCUCCCGUGACUGUUCACUUUAUUUAUGGUGUGACAUAUGUAAUAUUGUCUAUUUUUCUUACGUUUCCUGAGAAGAGGUAAUAUAUAAGAGUAUCGCAGCCGCCCCCGCUCGCCCGGGUGUCCGGCCCGUCCCCGCCUGUCCCCGCCUGUCCCCGCGUGCCCCCGGCCCCGCUCCUGCCGGGGCUCUGCCUCUCUACCUCCACCUCGCCGGGAAACCGGGGGCCAGAGCCCUUCCCCAGGGACUGCUCUCCUUUCCGCUCCACUCCCUGCUGGUUUGCUCUUUUUUUCUUUUUAAUUUUUUUUAAAUUUUAAUGAAGAAUAAAACUACCCCGCAGAACCUUGCAUUGAAACCAAAAGCAGAGGGAGGGGAGGGAGGGGACGGCGGUGACGGGCGGCCGAACCACAACGACAGCUUUAAAUGUCAGAUUUCCCAAAAAUAAAAUAAAAACUGUGCUGCGGGGAGGACGGAGCGGCCGCGGGGCUGCGGCGAUGCUCUGGGUGCUUCCCCGGGGGUUUGCCCCGCAACGGUGGCGCUGGGGGCCAGGGGACGUGUGCCACCCCUUUGGUGGCACCUCGGAGGUGGCAGCGGAUGAGCAGCGUGGUGCUGGCACAGCCUGGCCGGGGGGGCUGGGGGCAGCCUGGGGACACGGGGUGCCACAUCGGGUCCCCGCGGCUGCUCGCAGCUCCCGGCUUUCCCGCUCCCGCCGCGGCUGGGGCAGGGGGACGGUGUUGGGGACACGGGGACAGCGCGCCCCAGGUGCCCGUGCCCGUGGGGAGGCAGAGCCCGGGGCGCUGGGGUGGCACCGAGCUGGGCAGGUGGCAGGAUGGACGUGGCUCUCGGGUGCCACCCACGGCACCGGGGUCCCCUCUCCAGCCCCUUCCUCUCGUUCCCAACCCCAAAUCCCAGCUGAAACCAAAGUGCCACGUCCCGGCGAGGCUGGAGCAGGGGUCCCACACCUGCCUGGCUUCUGCUGCAUCACUGCCAGAGCCCCCCGAGCUCCCCCUGAAGCAUCAUCUCCUCCUCCUCCUCCUCCUCCUCCUCCUCCUCCUCCUCCUCCGGGGGCUGCUGGGGUCGCCCUCUGCAUCCCAGUGGGUCUGAGCUGGGGACAAGGUGCCGCUGUGUUCCCAGGCCACGGGCACUGUGAUGGGGUGUCCCCCCUGCGGUGGCAGCCCCGGGAUGUCACCGAACGCCCCGGCAGGGCGGUGGUGCCAGUGUCCCCAGUCCGUGCCGGCUGCCCGCUCCCCCGAUCCCGUGCGGGGCUGAGCCCUGCCCUGGCUGCCCCGCCAGCUCCGGGAUGGGGACACCGGGGCACGGGGUGGGGGGGCUGGAAAGCAGAGCCCCCCGCCAGGGCCAGGUGGGGCGUGGGGCCAGCCCAGAGAGAUGACACGGUAGGACUUUCCUUCGGCAUGCUGUCCCCCCUCUUGCUGUUCCCCGCUUUCUCUAAGUGUACUGUAUGUUUGACCUGUGAAAGAUGUAAACUUUAUGAUUCAGGUUAUGUCUGUUCUUAACUCUGUAUCUGUGUAAUAAAGACAAUUUAAUAUCAACCA